Molecule: transfer RNA, 78 nt
Filed under: Prionobrama filigera (glass bloodfin tetra)
Lineage: Eukaryota; Metazoa; Chordata; Actinopteri; Characiformes; Characidae
Description: tRNA-Lys
Source: RNAcentral
CACCAGAAAGCUAGAUAGGGUACUAGCAUUAGCCUUUUAAGCUAAACGCAGGUGAUUCCCGACCACCUCUGGUGACUU